UGAGCAUCCACCAGAGAGUGCGCGAGAGCUGCAGUACCCACCAGGCUGAGCGCUCCAGUUUGCGCUUGCGCACAAGCGCUCCUCCCGCCCCAAGCAGAUCGUGCUGCCAGCUGCUGCUCUCCAGAGAAGUGAUGCCUAGGUCCCUGGAGGGAACAGUGGGUGUAUACGGACUUUGGACUACUUUACUUACCUCUCCUGAUUUAUAACCUGCCUUACCUGAUUUGUUGACAUCAGUGUAGAAGAUAUUUAACGUGCCUGGUGAGUGUUCCAGCAUCUGUUAUAUGAGAGAGUUGAAGCACAUAAAUUACCAGUCUGCAUUCUCCAGGCUCCAAUCAUGUGAUUUCAGGCUUUGGAGGAAGUAUGAUGUUGUGUCUCUUCAGCCUUGUGGAAAGGAUUUAACAAGCAGCUUAGUAUGUAAGGGCAGCUGCUCUUAUUUCAGAAUAAUAUGACAACUGUGUAUCUAAAUGACUCUUCUGUGUCUAAUAAAGCCAAAAUGAGA
This 499-nucleotide long non-coding RNA is filed under the name Cricetulus griseus (Chinese hamster). RNAcentral's name for it is "lncRNA (ENSCGRG00015039517.1)". The record is from RNAcentral. Lineage: Eukaryota; Metazoa; Chordata; Mammalia; Rodentia; Cricetidae.